GUGAUGUCAUUCAUAUGAACGUGAUUGACUUUUCUCGUUGUCGGACGCGUUAUCAUGAAACUUUCACUGUUACUGAACCUGUGACUUUUGUGGAAUGUGGUAGACAUGAUUGGUUUUCAUGUGUGUUACAGCUGCAGGCAGUUCGACAGGGUCAAGCGCAAGUGAAGGACCAGGUGCUGCUGAUCAAGUCCCAUCCAUCCAUGAAACGGCAUCAAACAAUGAUCUUCCAGAACAGUGCUUUCUUCAUCCAAGUUCAAGAAGUAAAGAGAAUGACUUCAUGGCUUCUACUGACAUCUCACAGCUACAUGCCAAGACAAAAUAACUUGACAGCAGGAAAUGAAAAGAAAAAAAAAAGGUCCGUUUCAGGUCCACCCAAAUCUUUGUGCAGAGGCUGACAACAACAACGCUAUUGUGAGAUGAUGAAUGAU
Ornithodoros turicata is the source of this 428-nucleotide long non-coding RNA. RefSeq lists it as uncharacterized. The record is from RefSeq and is a predicted model, not a curated record. NCBI's taxonomy places the organism in Eukaryota, Metazoa, Arthropoda, Arachnida, Ixodida, Argasidae. The transcript is spliced from 3 exons.